RNAcentral lists this ribosomal RNA (468 nucleotides) under uncultured bacterium. Its description in RNAcentral is "partial 16S ribosomal RNA". It matches the Rfam family "Bacterial small subunit ribosomal RNA", at positions 28 to 507 of the family's 1533-position model. The record is from RNAcentral.
GACGAACGCUGGCGGCGUGCUUAACACAUGCAAGUCGAACGGAAAGGCCCUGCUUUUGUGGGGUGCUCGAGUGGCGAACGGGUGAGUAACACGUGAGUAGCCUGCCCUUGACUUUGGGAUAACUUCAGGAAACUGGGGCUAAUACCGGAUAGGAGCUCCUGCUGCAUGGUGGGGGUUGGAAAGUUUCGGCGGUUGGGGAUGGACUCGCGGCUUAUCAGCUUGUUGGUGGGGUAGUGGCUUACCAAGGCUUUGACGGGUAGCCGGCCUGAGAGGGUGACCGGCCACACUGGGACUGAGAUACGGCCCAGACUCCUACGGGAGGCAGCAGUGGGGAAUAUUGCACAAUGGGCGGAAGCCUGAUGCAGCAACGCCGCGUGCGGGAUGACGGCCUUCGGGUUGUAAACCGCUUUCGCCUGUGACGAAGCGUGAGUGACGGUAAUGGGUAAAGAAGCACCGGCUAACUACGUG